Long non-coding RNA from Dreissena polymorpha, 732 nucleotides. RefSeq lists it as uncharacterized. NCBI's taxonomy places the organism in Eukaryota, Metazoa, Mollusca, Bivalvia, Myida, Dreissenidae. The transcript is spliced from 3 exons. The record is from RefSeq and is a predicted model, not a curated record.
CGUUUUAUCUGAAAAUAGAGGUAAUGUUGUAUGUUUAUAUCAUAACUGUUUUAUUUCUUUAUUAUAUAUUUCAGUUCCUUGUGGGAUAGAGACGGCAUUCAUUUUGCACGGGAUCAAACGGAGCACGUGUACAAUCAUUCUGAAAUCGAGGCUAUUUCGGAUGAAAUCGAUCAGAAUGAAGCACCGCACGAAAGCACACAGGUCUCAGAAUCGCAGCUCCACACGAACCUGUAUGAGAACACAGGACAAUCAAGAUGUGAUCAGCGGGACCAGUCAGAUGACGAUAACUACGACACUAUUAGCGAAGAACACGAUGGGCCCUGUGAAUGAUGAAAAUCUUCAAUAACAUAAAUGUGUUGGGACACAUGAACAUCUCAAACAAUUUAUUUCUGAUUUCAUUGCUGCGUAUUGUACAUGUAUGUGCUGUAUUUUUAAUCAUGUCUGAACACACGGUUCUUUGACAUGGUUUGUUGUUGCCAUUUGGGAAUAUGAGAUACGUUGACCAGGAAAAACGUAUACAAUAUUUUGAUUAUGAUAUUUAAUUAUUAUAUUUUGUUUAAACUUGUUUAAAUUGACGAACGUUUUAACUGUCAUUUCUACUAAAGUUCCGACGUGUUAAUUACAUCAAAAUGUUGCACAGCUGUCUAACACUAUUUCUCAACAUUUUGCAGUCACCAGUUCAUCUUUAUAAUGCAUUCAGUGUACAUAUUAUCAAGAUCUUCAUUCAAGAAA